UUAGCUAUUUUAGAUAGGUUUGUAUUCAUGAUUCAUGGAUGCAGACGACACGCGUUUGUAUCUAUGAUGGCUAAGGAUUUUAAGUAUGACUUAAUGCCACAUAGAUGAGAAUCUAUAGUGGCUUUUUUCUUUGGUAUUUUUUGGGGAAUGAGGUUCAUUGUAGGUUUUCUACAAUGGACCUUUUUUCGUAUUUAAAA
Molecule: non-coding RNA, 197 nt
Filed under: Enterococcus hermanniensis
Lineage: Bacteria; Bacillati; Bacillota; Bacilli; Lactobacillales; Enterococcaceae
Description: Enterococcus sRNA 2410
Rfam family: Enterococcus sRNA 2410
About the family: Produced as 2 transcripts on Northern blot. Expressed in mid, late exponential and early stationary phases of growth. Expression remained uniform under daptomycin exposure.
Source: Rfam by way of RNAcentral